Molecule: ribosomal RNA, 521 nt
Filed under: uncultured bacterium
Lineage: Bacteria
Description: bacterial SSU rRNA
Rfam family: Archaeal small subunit ribosomal RNA
Source: RNAcentral
AACCUCCGCAAUGUGAGAAAUCGCGACGGGGGGAUCCCAAGUGCCAUUCUUAACGGGAUGGCUUUUCAUUAGUGUAAAGAGCUUUUGGAAUAAGGGCUGGGCAAGACCGGUGCCAGCCGCCGCGGUAACACCGGCAGCUCUAGUGGUAGCAGUUUUUAUUGGGCCUAAAGCGUCCGUAGCCGGUUUAAUAAGUCUCUGGUGAAAUCCUGUAGCUUAACUGUGGGAAUUGCUGGAGAUACUAUUAGACUUGAGACCGGGAGAGGUUAGAGGUACUCCCAGGGUAGAGGUGAAAUUCUGUAAUCCUGGGAGGACUGCCUGUUGCGAAGGCGUCUAACUGGAACGGUUCUGACGGUGAGGGACGAAAGUUAGGGGCGCGAACCGGAUUAGAUACCCGGGUAGUCCUAACCGUAAACGAUGCGGACUUGGUGUUGGGGUGGCUUUGAGCUGCUCCAGUGCCGAAGGGAAGCUGUUAAGUCCGCCGCCUGGGAAGUACGGUCGCAAGACUGAAACUUAAAGGAAGU